GAUGAACGCUGGCGGCGUGCUUAACACAUGCAAGUCGAACAGAGUGCCUUUGAAAGAGGAUUCGUCCAAUUGAUAAGGUUACUUAGUGGCGGACGGGUGAGUAACGCGUGAGGAACCUGCCUUGGAGUGGGGAAUAACACAGUGAAAAUUGUGCUAAUACCGCAUAAUGCAGUUGGGCCGCAUGGCUCUGACCGCCAAAGAUUUAUCGCUCUGAGAUGGCCUCGCGUCUGAUUAGCUAGUUGGUGGGGUAAAGGCCUACCAAGGCGACGAUCAGUAGCCGAGCUGAGAGGCUCAACGGCCACAUUGGGACUGAGAUACGGCCCAG
RNAcentral lists this ribosomal RNA (325 nucleotides) under uncultured bacterium. RNAcentral describes it as "bacterial SSU rRNA". It matches the Rfam family "Bacterial small subunit ribosomal RNA", at positions 28 to 334 of the family's 1533-position model. The record is from RNAcentral.